GCAACAGAUGAUUAUCACUAUGAGAAAUUCAAGAAGAUGAAAGGACAGGAAAUAAUAUUUCGUUCUCUUUCUUUUGAAGGGUCUCCUCCAAAUCGCAAACGUCCAGCCAAUGAAAAAGCAACAGAUGAUUAUCACUAUGAGAAAUUCAAGAAGAUGAAAGGACAGGAAAUAAUAUUUCGUUCUCUUUCUUUUGAAGGGUCUCCUCCAAAUCGCAAACGUCCAGCCAAUGAAAAAGCAACAGAUGAUUAUCACUAUGAGAAAUUCAAGAAGAUGAAAGGACAGGAAAUAAUAUUUCGUUCUCUUUCUUUUGAAGGGUCUCCUCCAAAUCGCAAACGUCCAGCCAAUGAAAAAGCAACAGAUGAUUAUCACUAUGAGAAAUUCAAGAAGAUGAAAGGACAGGAAAUAAUAUUUCGUUCUCUUUCUUUUGAAGGGUCUCCUCCAAAUCGCAAACGUCCAGCCAAUGAAAAAGCAACAGAUGAUUAUCACUAUGAGAAAUUCAAGAAGAUGAAAGGACAGGAAAUAAUAUUUCGUUCUCUUUCUUUUGAAGGGUCUCCUCAAAUCGCAAACGUCCACUCAAUGAAAAAGCAACAGAUGAUUAUCACUAUGAGAAAUUCAAGAAGAUGAGUAGGCGAUACUGAUGAACAUGGAGUUGUUCUUAUUUUCCACUAAUAAAGGAUUUUGUGUCAAUGACCUGAAAUGGAGUUGGGGAGAGUCACUACCUUCACAUGCUGGUGUUACCUACAAAGCUUUUCUUGUGAUCUUGUAGUGAAUCGGUUCGCAGGGCCUUUGCUGUGCAGAGUGUGUAAGGCUGAGAUCGUGCAGGAGUGUGUUCAGUGCCGCUGCUCCUCAACCUGGCUUGCAAGCGCUCCGGGAGAAAUCACAGCGUUGGCUGUGCCUGGCGCUGCCUCGCUGGGUCUGUCAUCAGCGCAAGGAGCAACAGCAGAUACAUAGUGCUGGGGAUUUUAGGUGAUAAGCUGUGUUGUUCUGUAUCUUUUUCUCCCUGUAGAGUUACUUCUAUAGCAGUUCACUGCCUUUUAUUUUAGCUGCGAAGAAGAAGAAAAUUGGAUCAGCUUGUAACUGUUGAAUUGGAGGAAAAUCUCACUUUCAGCUCUUAGGACAGGGUCAAGAGGCAGCUGGUGAAGAGGCCAGAGGACCCGCAGCCGGUGUCAGCCACGUCUUCCCAGGAGAUGUGCGGGUACUCGAAGCCAAGAUUUGGAACUUGCAAAUAAUAAAAGUGUUUUUAAGUGAUCG
Molecule: long non-coding RNA, 1251 nt
Organism: Aptenodytes forsteri (emperor penguin)
Lineage: Eukaryota; Metazoa; Chordata; Aves; Sphenisciformes; Spheniscidae
Exons: 2
Source: RefSeq, a predicted model, not a curated record